This is a long non-coding RNA of Hordeum vulgare subsp. vulgare (domesticated barley), 983 nucleotides long. RefSeq lists it as uncharacterized. The transcript has 2 exons. The record is from RefSeq and is a predicted model, not a curated record. NCBI's taxonomy places the organism in Eukaryota, Viridiplantae, Streptophyta, Magnoliopsida, Poales, Poaceae.
UGGAGAUCAUGCCCAGACGCGUAAUAGCCCGAGCUUAGGAGAAAAACGAAGGAGCCGCAAACUGUAGCAGCUAAUCCAGCCCCGUGUGCACCUCGAAAUCCCCCUGGUUCAUCGUGAUUUGUCACCGGAGUUUGUCCCCCAUGGCUUCCCUCGCGCCCGCUUAUAAAUAGGCACACCGAGCCCUUGCAAGAUCCAUCACUCCCCCUCCCCCACUCGAGAGCCUCGCCCAAGCCACUCGAAGGGCUUCGAGAAGAACGUCUUCCCCGCCUCCAGCCGCCCGAUUUGAUUUCGGGUCCCGGCUAAAUUCAAGCUAGUAAGACCAUCCAUGCAGCCUGUCUUUUGCCAACAAGCUCCUAGAACAUUAGCUCAUCUAACCAGCGCGUUGAUUCGGUGGAUGCAAACAUCUCCGGUGAGAUCCACCUGCACCCGAAAGCACCGCCGCCGGAGUUGGAGCUGUCGUCGACGUGGUUCCCGCCGGCGAGUGCCUCCACCUUCAUGAGUUGUGGAUUAACCCCGUGAGUGCGCCCGUGCCUUCCUCAACCUCUGUUUUGCUGCAGGACACCGGCGACGACAUCGCGAGCCUCUAUCGCGGGCGAGAUAAUUUUAAACCUCACAAAAUGGAUGAAGGAGACCUCAUGGAUGAAGAAUACGAUAGCGACUCCGAGGCCUAGAGGAGUCCCAGUCACUCUUGCGAUCAUGGAGUCUGUCGUUGUCUUAUUUCACCGCUUCCGCCACCGCAAAUAAAUAGUCAAGCCUCACUCUGACGCUUGUCAUGUAGUAGUACUUAAGCCAUGCCAAUUCACUCCGAUGUGACAUGCCUACCUUUUAUGCGAGUAGUAGACUUACCCCAUGACCACUGUGAUAUAUCCACCCUUAUGAUAUUAUGGGUGUGUUGUAAUACACUGUGCAGCAACCUACGCUCUUUCCUGUUUAAUAUGAAGUACUACUAGUUUUCUGUAUCAAGAUUGGUCUAUCGGUGUGAA